UGUCAGGCAGCCCAGUAGAAAUAUCUAA
Molecule: non-coding RNA, 28 nt
Filed under: Mus musculus (house mouse)
Lineage: Eukaryota; Metazoa; Chordata; Mammalia; Rodentia; Muridae
Source: RNAcentral